GGACUCAGCUGGGAUGAGAGGAACCCUUGGUGGAUUGUCACUCUUGCUCAAUGGCCUGUGGCCCCUGGUGACGGGCUGUUCUCUUCCCCAGUGGAGUUGCCAGUAUUGACCAAGGAUCAUACACAAGGAGGGCACUGGCCACCUGACUGCAGAGAGCCACUGCUGUGGAGUCACAAAGCGAAGCCUACCCUGUGGGAGAGCCAGGAACAUUUCUGACUUGUGGAAGGCCUGGGGCACCAUGGCAAAGGAGCAAGUGAGAUGGGCCAUCCUAAACGGCUGUCGCAUGCCAGGAUGAAGGGCCAUGCAUCCAUUCAUUUGGCUGGAUACUAAGGACAGAGCCAUGCAUCUGUUCAUCUCAUGGACACAAAGACAAGUUUCCUGGUGUCUUCCUGCAAGACAGAAUCAUGCAUCAGUUUAUUUGCCUGAGUACUAAGGUAACUCUUCCUUUGUCUUCCCACAGGACAGGGCCAUGCUUCUGUUCAUCUACUGGGACACUAAGGAAUCUGCAAGGAAUCUAUUCAUCAGCUUGGAUACUAAGACAGAGCCAUGCAUCUAGUCAUCUUCUUGGAUACUAAGGAAAGGCUGCUUCUGUCUUUGUGCAAGACAGGGCUAUGCAUCUGUUCAAGUGGUGGGAUAAUAAGAUAAGUCUGCUUUGGUUUUCUUUAUGACAGAGCCAUGUUUCUGUUCAUCUACCAAGACAUUAAAGUAAUUCUGCUUCUGUCUUCCUACAGGAGAGAUCCGUAUAUCUUUUCACCUGUUGGGAUACUAAGAUAAGUCUGUUUGCCUUCCUACACAAUGGGGACAUGCAUCUAUUCAUCUGCUCAGACACUAAGAAUGGGGCCAUGCAUCUGUUCAUCUUCUCAUAUACUAAGUAAGGCUGCUUGUGUCUUCAUAUGGGACAGGGCCAUGCAUCUUUUUAUGUGCUGGAAUACUAAGGUAAGUCUACUGAUGUUUUCUUACAUGACAGAAUCAUGCAUCUGUUCAUCUGCCUGAAUACUAGGGUAAGGCUCCUGUUGUCUUCCUGUAGGAUAAAGCCAUGCAUGUCUUCAUGGGCCUAGGUACUACCUUAAUUGUUCUUCUGUCUUCCCACAGGACAGGGCCAUGCAUCUGUUCAUCUUCUUAUAUACUAAGGACAGAUCCACACACUUCAUCUGCUUGGACACCAUGAAAGUCUCCUUCUGUCUACCUACAGGACACAGCCAUGAAUCUAUUCAUCAGCUCAGAUACCAAGGACCUUGUGCUUUCAAGGUAGGCAAAGCACCACUGAGCUACCUUCCCACCUGCUGAUGUCUUCCUGCAAGACAGGGUCAUGCAUUUGGUCAUCUUCUCAGAUACUAAGGUAAGGCUGCUCCUGUCAUCAUACAAGACAGGGCCGUGCAUCUGUUCAUGUGCUGGGAUACUAAGGUAAGUCUACUGAUGUUUUCCUACAUGACAGAAUCAUGCAUCUGUUCAUCUGCCUGAAUACUAGGGUAAGGCUCCUGAUGUCUUCCUGUAGGAUAAAGCCAUGCAUGUCUUCAUGGGCCUAGGUACUACCUUAAUUGUUCUUCUGUCUUCCCACAGGACAGGGCCAUGGAUCUGUUCUUCUCCUUAUAUACUCAGGUAAGUCUGCUUCUGUCUUCCUAGAGGACAGAGCCAUGCAUUUGUUCAUCUACACAGACACUAAGGCAAGUCUUUGGAUGUCCUCCUGCAGGACAGAUCCAUGCAUCUGUUAAUGUGCACAGAUACUAAAGUAAGUCUGUUAAAAUCCUUGUGUUGGACCCAGCUUCUUUUGAACUUUCUUGGUGGCCAUGGAGUGAGUGUUUUGUCCCCUGAAGAGUUCAAACUUACUUGGCAUCCUAACGGUAGGGCUCGGGGAAGUGGUUAUGUCCUGCCGAGCGAGUACUUGCAAUGGCAUUAGUGGGAAUUCAUAACUUUGGCCUUUUUGCUUUCUGCCAUUUAGAGAUACAGGUCCUCUUUUCUGUGGAUGGAUCAUCAAGUUGCCCUCAUGCAGUGGAAACACAGCCUUCAAAAGACAAAUGAUUCUCCCAUCCCUUUGAGUUCCUAUGUCUCAGCCUCCGGAACCUAGCCUAGAAUUGUACAAGACACCACCAGAAACCUCAGAAAUCAACGAGCAAAACACUGAAACAGAUUGCUUCUCCUCGCUGACUACAAGAUGGCUGCUACCCAUCCUGGGACCCUUCAUUGUCAUCAUCUGUAUGCAGCGCCUUGAUCAAUUUUUUUCCAAGGCUGGAUUCAUCCAGCCACUAACUUCCUCACCUCCCAAAAGCUGAUGAACAGAUAUCCCUACCGGUGUGAGACCCCAACCCCACCUACCAACUCAGCUCCUCCCCCUGACAAUGGCCCCAGUCAGCAUGAAGCUGCUACUUGAGACAGCUCAUGACCUCAUCCCUUAUAACAAGGAGCCGUGAAUGUAAGGCCUAAACCCACCAGGCCUAAGCACAGCAUCCUUCAUCCUUCAGCAGCCUUCUUGGCCCUAGCAGCAGCUCGGAAGGAGGCCUCAGCACUUAGUCCCUCUUCCCAUGUCCUCAGUGAAAGCCUGCUCUCUUUCAUUCCGUGUCGUGGCACUGGUGUAUAGUCACUGGAGACAGUAAACUUCCA
Molecule: long non-coding RNA, 2598 nt
Filed under: Heterocephalus glaber (naked mole-rat)
Lineage: Eukaryota; Metazoa; Chordata; Mammalia; Rodentia; Bathyergidae
Description: lncRNA (ENSHGLG00100034229.1)
Source: RNAcentral